Molecule: unclassified non-coding RNA, 429 nt
Filed under: soil metagenome
Description: partial contains 5.8S ribosomal RNA, internal transcribed spacer 2, and large subunit ribosomal RNA
Rfam family: 5.8S ribosomal RNA (bases 1-120)
Source: RNAcentral
GAUGAAGAACGCAGCGAAAUGCGAUACGUAAUGUGAAUUGCAGAAUUCAGUGAAUCAUCGAAUCUUUGAACGCAUAUUGCGCUCUUUGGUAUUCCGAAGCGCAUGCUUGUUUGAGUAUCAGUAAACACCUCAAAGACUUCAAUUUGUUUUGAAUGGCUUUGGACUUGAGCAAUCCCAACACCAGUCUUUACGAUCGGUGGAGGGUUGCUUGAAAUGCAGGUGCAGCUGGACAUUCUCCUGAGCUAAAAGCAUAUUUAUUUAGUCCCGUCAAACGGAUUAUUACUUUUGCUGCAGCUAACAUAAAGGGAGUUUGACCGUAUUGGCUGACUGAUGCAGGAUUUCACAAGGGUCGGCAACGAUUCUUGUAAAACUCGAUCUCAAAUCAAGUAAGACUACCCGCUGAACUUAAGCAUAUCAAUAAGCGGAGGA